CCAUGCGUGCGUCCAUUCCGCUGUCUGCUGGAGGCCCCAGCAUAGGCACACAGAAAGGAAAGUCGGGGGCAGAAACAGGAGGGAAGUGGCCAUCCUUCCCAGGCAGGGUUGGUCCCAGGACUUCCAGGACCUCAGGCAGCACCUGCUCUGUCUGACGAGGCGAGCUGCCUGUGACACAUUUCCUAAAUUGUGUGUUUGUUGUUUUUUAUGAAUAAAAAUAAGACAUGUUCACAGGAAAAAAACAAAACAAAACAAAACACGAAGCACAGCAGAUAAUACAAUGAAGAUGCAGGGUGAGCCUGCUCCUCCCUCCGGGGCGCCCACAGGUUUGGUGCCCAGAGGCUCCUCUGGGCUUUUCUGGUGCAUGCUUACACAGUUAACGAUGAAAUGACACAGAUCUGUUUGUUUAUUUAUUAUUAUUAUUUUUUGAGACGGAGUCUCACUCUGUCAUCCAGGCUGGAGUGCAAUGGCACCAUACCAGCUCACUGCAACCUCCGACUCCCUGGUUCAAGCAGUUCUCCUGCCUCAGCCUCCCUAGUAGCUGGGAUUACAGGCAUGUGCCACCAUGCCUGGCUAACUUUUGUAUUUUUAGUAGAGACGGGGUUUCGCCAUGUUGGCCAGGCUGGUCUUGAACUCCUGACCUCAAGUGAUCCACCUCCCUGGGGGACUGACCCUGGGAUGUGGCCCAUGCACACCUCCUCCUGUGUCCUCUCCCUGAGUGGGCACCCCCAUCUCCCGGGGGAACGUGAAAUCCGGGCGCCGGGAGCCCUUUGCACCUGGGAGGGCAGGUUCAGUGCUCCUGGGAGAAGCCGAGCAAGUACUGUUGUCUGGGCAGGGAGGCGCAGCGUCGCUGGGAAAAGUGGAUUAAUUUAGAUUAAUUGAAUUCAACUCAGCCAGGGAUGGCAGAGGCCGAGAGGGACCGGGCAUCUUCCCCACCUCCCAUGUCCCCGCCCCAUCAGUCCCCCCUGCCCUCCCUGACCCCCUGACUGCCUCCACUGGCCCCCCACAACUCCGUCAGCUCCCACCCCUCCCUGCUGGCCCCCCACAAUCCCGCCAGCCCCCACCCCUCCCCACUAGUCCUGUCUUCCUGUUGGGCUCCCGUUGACUCCAGGGCCUGAAGCAUUUCCAGAAACAACCAUAACUGGGAAGGCCGUGACCCCUCUAGGACGGCUGUGUGGGCAGCCUCAGGCUGUAGGUCAGGGACCUGCGACUCCAGGCAGGGGGUGCCAGACCCAACUGUGGUGGGAGAGCUGCGAGCCACCCAGCCUCAGGGCACGUGCCCAGACUAGGACCCAGGGCAGUGGCUCUCCUCCCCAGCCCUGCCCUGGAGACACUGACUCACCCGAAGCCUCAAGGCCUCAGGCCCCAGACCUGCCUCCAACUCCCAGGCCAGACAAGACCCCGUUUCCGAGGGGAGCGCCCCUCGGCUGGAAGAGGAGGCUGGGGGGCAACACUCCAAUCACAGAUGGUGUUUCUGUUAAGCUGACUCAGGUGGAAUGGCCGGGGAGGGGCAGCUCGGCCAGGGGGCCUCACACGGCGGCUGCGUUCCCCAAAAGUCAGAGGCCAUUCCCCAUGCAGGGGAUGCCCCAGGACAAGUGUCCCGUCCUGGAUAAACGCUCUCACACGUGAUGCCGGCGUGAAGGCUCUGGAGACGAGGCCCUCCCGAGCCUGGACACCCGGGGAACGGCGGGUGACUCCUUCACUCUCAUCUGAAACCAUCUUGUGGGGGCCCUGCCCUGGGCUCCCCAACCAGAGAGACCAUUUUCUCCUCACACACUCGUGCCUGCCCGUGUGCCCCCCCACCCCCCCCCGGUGAGGCCCUGGGGUGGACUUCUGCUGCCGGGAGAAACAGCCACCUCUGCCGUCCCCCAUGACUGGCAGCUUCCUCCCCUCUUUCGGGUCUUCCCAGCGACCCACACUGCGUCCUGGCGGCACCCCCGGCUCCCCCACAGCUCCUGGGCAGAGGGCACCUUCACUGGCACCGCACGGUGACCCAGCACAGGCUGGCGGCCUCCGAUCACACCUGUGACCCUCGUAUUGCCACUGUCCCUGCUGGCGCUGCUGCGAGCACUGCUCUUGUCUGAGCUCUGUCCGCCACUGGAACUCACCCAAGACCCGGGAUAAAUGGGCAAAGAAGCAACGCCCUGAGAGCUCAGAGCACCCUCGCAGGGUGGGGCUCAGACAGUCCUGAGCUGGAGCCGUCCCACGCUCGGCUUCUGUCACGCAGACACGGCUGCCGAGGCCACUGGGCACCCAGUGCCGGGGCCUCUGUGAAGACCUGGACGGGAAGGGGCCCCGAGGACCUGUGGAGGCGUCCAUCACUGGGAGGCGCCAUUGUCGGGAGGUGCCCAUCAGCAGGGGGCGCCCAUUGUGGGGAGGCACUGGCUGUGGCACCACACGACCCGUCGCCCGCCCGGGGGCCCUCACCCCCCUGGAAGCCCCCACACAGCGCCGUGGCCCAGCCUGGAGUGGCGCCAGGAGCGAGCCUCUCCGGAAGCCCCCCCUUGGCCGGUGCCGGUCCCAUCUCAUCCUCGGAUCACAGCCAAGGCGCCGGAGCAGGCUCCUGACACAAAUCUCCAAGGGCUCAGCACUCAAUUAGCGCGUGCGCCACGUGGCCAG
This 2619-nucleotide long non-coding RNA is filed under the name Homo sapiens (human). RNAcentral's name for it is "non-protein coding lnc-CFAP46-6:1". The record is from RNAcentral. Lineage: Eukaryota; Metazoa; Chordata; Mammalia; Primates; Hominidae.